UCCCUGGUGGUCCAGUGGUUAAGACUCUGCACCCUUGCUGCUGAGGGCCCAGGUUCGAUCCCUGGUCAGGGAA
Non-coding RNA from Lipotes vexillifer (Yangtze River dolphin), 73 nucleotides. The record is from the annotation of a RefSeq genome assembly. NCBI's taxonomy places the organism in Eukaryota, Metazoa, Chordata, Mammalia, Artiodactyla, Lipotidae.